RNAcentral lists this ribosomal RNA (305 nucleotides) under uncultured bacterium. RNAcentral describes it as "bacterial SSU rRNA". It matches the Rfam family "Bacterial small subunit ribosomal RNA", at positions 497 to 798 of the family's 1533-position model. The record is from RNAcentral.
CUAAACCUACGGGAGGCAGCAGCCGCGGUAAUACGGAGGAUGCGAGCGUUAUCCGGAUUUAUUGGGUUUAAAGGGUGCGUAGGCGGCAUUAUAAGUUAGUGGUAAAAUAUUGGGGCUUCACCUCACUACGCCAUUAAUACUGUAGAGCUAGAGAACAGACGAGGUAGGCGGAAUAAGUUAAGUAGCGGUGAAAUGCAUAGAUAUAACUUAGAACACCGAUAGCGAAGGCAGCUUACCAGACUGAGUCUGACGCUGAUGCACGAGAGCAUGGGUAGCGAACAGGAUUAGAAACCCCUGUAGUCCGC